AGUGGCGAACGGGUGAGUAACACGUGAGUAACCUGCCCCCUUCUUUGGGAUAACGGUCGGAAACGGCUGCUAAUACCGGGUAUUCACUGUCCUUCGCAUGGGGGGUGGUGGAAAGGUUUUUUCUGGUGGGGGAUGGGCUCGCGGCCUAUCAGCUUGUUGGUGGGGUGAUGGCUUACCAAGGCUUUGACGGGUAACCGGCCUGAGAGGCUGACCGGUCACAUUGGGACUGAGAUACGGCCCAGACUCCUACGGGAGGCAGCAGUGGGGAAUAUUGCACAAUGGGCGAAAGCCUGAUGCAGCGACGCCGCGUGAGGGAUGACGGCCUUCGGGUUGUAAACCUCUUUCGCUCAUGGUCAAGCCGCAACAGUGGUUGUGGUGAGGGUAGUGGGUAAAGAAGCACCGGCUAACUACGUGCCAGCAGCCGCGGUAAUACGUAGGGUGCGAGCGUUGUCCGGAAUUAUUGGGCGUAAAGGGCUUGUAGGCGGUUUGUCGCGUCUGCCGUGAAAUCCUCUGGCUUAACUGGGGGCGUGCGGUGGGUACGGGCAGGCUUGAGUGCGGUAGGGGAGACUGGAACUCC
Molecule: ribosomal RNA, 577 nt
Filed under: uncultured Actinomycetes bacterium
Lineage: Bacteria; Bacillati; Actinomycetota; Actinomycetes
Description: bacterial SSU rRNA
Rfam family: Bacterial small subunit ribosomal RNA
Source: RNAcentral